RNAcentral lists this long non-coding RNA (1049 nucleotides) under Callithrix jacchus (white-tufted-ear marmoset). Its description in RNAcentral is "lncRNA (ENSCJAG00000071196.1)". The record is from RNAcentral. Lineage: Eukaryota; Metazoa; Chordata; Mammalia; Primates; Cebidae.
UUUGCAGGAGCAAUUCAGAAAGGUGCAAAUCUUAUAACAUUGAUGUAUUAGCAGAAUUCAGGCUUCACUCAUGCUCCCAACCUGGUAGUCCUUUAUUAGCUUUACAAAAGCAGUUUAGUUUUGGGGAAGUGCUGUUAUCAUUUAAACUGUAAAUGUCUCCCAAAGUUAGCAUGGCCCAAGCCCAGGAAUGAAUAAAUGCAGUUUGGAGGCUGAAGGCAAGAUGGAGGUUGGUUAGAUUAGAUCUUUUUCACUGUCAUAAUAUUCUCAUUGUUACAAUUUUUGCAAAGGAAGUUACUUAAGAACAAAGGUAAGAAUAAAGUGCUAGAGGCACUCAGUGGAAGAGAAGUGAAACUGGGAAUGUUACAGGUAGUCAGACAGGCCUAAGUGGGGCAAGUGAGGGCUCUCCCCAUCUGGCUAGCAAUAUCUGGUGAUGGUCUGCAAUUGUCUCUUUGUGUCUCUAAAAAUGGUAAUUCAGAAACCAGGGAGAGGCAAUCUCCUGAUCAUCCACACCUGUUAAUAUUAUAAGUGUUCACUAAAGCCACGCAAGGUGGCUCACGCCUGUAAUCCCAGCACUUUGGGAGGCCGAGGCAGGCAGAUUGCCUGAGCUCAGGAGUUCAAGACCACCUUGGGUAACAGUGAAACCCCGUCUCUACUAAAAUACAAAAAAUUAGGCGUGGCCACGUGCACCUUUAAUCCCAGCUACUUGGGAGGCUGAGGCAGGAUGAUUGCUUGAACCUGGAAGGCGAAGGUUGCAGUGAGUGGAGAACGCAACACUGCACUCCAGCCCGGGCAAUAGGGUGAGAGACUCCCUCUCAAAAAAAAAAAAAAAGUGUUAACUGAAUGCAGGCCCCAAGGGGAAGCAGUCUCUUGGGCAUACUUGUUAAGAGACAAAAUGGUGGAGUAUGACGUUUUGGCGCACCCACCACCGGAAAAAGAAAACAGUCUCCAAUGCGCAUGUGUAUAACUGCCUCAGCACACUGCACAUGCUCAGUUCCAAGGUAAGGAAAGCACACUGCACAUGCUCAGUUCCAAGGUAAGGGAAGCACACU